Molecule: long non-coding RNA, 2226 nt
Organism: Formica exsecta
Lineage: Eukaryota; Metazoa; Arthropoda; Insecta; Hymenoptera; Formicidae
Exons: 3
Source: RefSeq, a predicted model, not a curated record
CUCUAGUAAUUUGUAAUAUAUAAACAAAGGAAUAUAAAAAAUUAGUCUAUAGGAGUUUCCUCAGUUAAAAUACACAGGAUAUUACGAUUGACUAAUUGCGUGCGCAAAAAUGGAUUAAUAAAAAAAAGGGAAGGUAGGAAAUGGAAUUCUUCCUUGUGACUUCCGCUGUCUUGUUGUGGUUGAAUGUGCGUGUCAAAGACCAAGUUUACCCUCUAGGAUUACUGAAAGUCGAACGGAUGUUAUUCUCGCAAACUUUUCAUGGAAUCUACUCGAGAGGAUGUCUCUGGUAUUUGUAUAGAGAAGGGAGAAGGCAUACCAACGAAUACUAAUCCUUGAAUGUUUAAGUUUAUGUUGAGAAGAGAAUUACGGAGACAAGAAAAAGAUUUUCCUUUUUUUGAAACAAAUAUCAAGUUAACUAAAUAUUUUAAAUAUUUAAUGCGAUAAAUUAUGAACAGUCGAGUUUUAGUGAUUGCGACUAUUGAAAAAAUUAUGCGAUGGUAAAGUUUAUUGUUGCACCAUAUAAGUAAUGUAUGCAACCAGCUUUGUAUUUAUUUAAAGGAUGACUAUGCUUCUUUCGUAUGCUAAUUGUAAGCAGUUUUUUUUUUCUCGCAAUAAAUUCUUUCGAAAUGAGAGUUUGAGAUACUUCAAUGCUUAUGCGUUCCGGAUGUGCGUUUGGAACAGCUGAUUCGGAGAUUUUUUAAAUUUUAUUUUUCCACAACAAGUAAUAAUUUUUAAUCUAGGAUUAAUAAUUAUUAAUCUAAGAUUUAUGAUGUCACAGGAAGUUUUUUAAAUUAAUCUAUUGGCAUCGCGUGCGAGUUACGUUACGACUUGACAAUUUAAAACGCAGGUGCAGCUCACCGCAUAUAAAAUAUUAUACAUUGAUGUAACUUCCUCUCUCUCUCUCUCUCUCUUCACGCAAUAAUGCAAAUAACAUAUUUACAAACAAUAUGAAAUGUACGGAUACCAUAGGCAGGUAGACAUUCUACAUGUUAUUCAAGCAUGCAUAUGUUAUUAUUCUCAACAUGAUCGUUACAACAGAAACUCCGUCAAUGAUUUCACCAUUAGCGAUUGAUACGCGAUGGAAGUAGAAUAUUUUGCGAUAUUUUAUUUACUACGAAGAGAAACGUAUUUAUAUAUACAUCUCGUGUGUUUGAAAUUACUGCGAAGUCGUUAUUCCAAGCAGCUGAACCUGCCGCUGAUUAAAUCGGAUUAUCUCGUCGUUAGCGGAAUCUCAUUUCACGGGUAUCCCGUUCCUCUUUGAGCUUUUCUCUUUCUCUCGACUGUUGAGAUCCUCUCCUCUCCUCUCUCUUCUCCUUACGCUUCUGUCUCGAUCUCUCGCCAUCUCGUCCCGAACGAUUCUCGUUCAGAACGCGAUCGACAUUCCGAGCCGCGCCCAUUCUCAGCACAUGGUUCAACAAGUCUUGCGUUUAACGUUCGAUGCACAAACGCAUAUACUUUUGCGCCAUUCAAACCUGCAUAAAUGGACAGCAUGAUAGGUCUAUCCAGAGAUUUAUUUUUAUAAAAAGAGUAUAAUUUUUUAAUUUUAUUUUUAACAAUUAUAUUUUAUAAACAAAAAUGCCAUGAUAUAUUUUAAAAAAUUUAAUAUUUUAGCGAAUAUCAUAAUCCUGUGUAGACUACGAACUCGCGCGAGCUCUGAAGAAGAAAAGUUGCUUUCAAUAAUAAUCCACCACUAUUAUAGUGGUGGAUUAGCAAUGGUUAUAGCAAUUCUCUCUGCUAAAAAUCUUUUGCUUUCUUUUAUAAAUGAUUUCAGCUUUUAUUUGAAAUUUAUACAUUGAUUUUUUUUUUUGCUUUUGCGUGACUCGACCAUUUCGCUUAGAGUCGGCAUGCGGAAAGAAGACCCACUAAUCCACUUCGAUGGAUCAGCCACGCUACAUCCGAAAGGAUCUCGCGCCGCGAUUCCGCGAGGAAGCGCGAAGUGCAUCGCCACAUAACGUGUGUACUACGCUCUGUUAUUUUCGCGCCUUUUAUCCUUGACGGACGCGCACGCAUCGCGAUUCCUCAACAAUCAUACCUCGCCUCCUCGCUUAGGAUAGAGACAGGUUGUCGGGGGAGAACCGCCUGUACAGUUAUGUCUUACGCAUAAGGUGUGAGCGAAUGCGUGCAUUCGAAUGUCUGCGAGCAGAGAUGAGUAAAAAAUAAUAUUUGAAUAAACAUACUGUUUGAACUAGAAAAUAAAGAUAUAUUUAAAAGAAAACUCCGUUUCUC